Molecule: ribosomal RNA, 460 nt
Filed under: uncultured bacterium
Lineage: Bacteria
Description: partial 16S ribosomal RNA
Rfam family: Bacterial small subunit ribosomal RNA
Source: RNAcentral
CCUACGGGUGGCAGCAGUGAGGAAUAUUGGUCAAUGGGCGCGAGCCUGAACCAGCCAAGUCGCGUGAGGGAAGACGGUCCUAUGGAUUGUAAACUUCUUUUAUAAAGGAAUAAAACGAGGCACGUGUGCCUUUUUGCAUGUACUUUAUGAAUAAGGAUCGGCUAACUCCGUGCCAGCAGCCGCGGUAAUACGGAGGAUCCGAGCGUUAUCCGGAUUUAUUGGGUUUAAAGGGAGCGUAGAUGGGUUGUUAAGUCAGUUGUGAAAGUUUGCGGCUCAACCGUAAAAUUGCAAUUGAUACUGGCAGUCUUGAGUACAGUUGAGGUAGGCGGAAUUCGUGGUGUAGCGGUGAAAUGCUUAGAUAUCACGAAGAACCCCGAUUGCGAAGGCAGCUUACUAAACUGUGACUGACAUUGAUGCUCGAAAGUGUGGGUAUCAAACAGGAUUAGAUACCCCUGUAGUC